GUGAACGAUGAAGGUCUUCUGAUUGUAAAGUUCUUUUAUUUAGGAAAAAAAGCUUGAGAGGAAAUGAUUAAGCCUUGAUUGUACUAAAUGAAUAAGUGACAGCUAACUAUGUGCCAGCAGCUGCGGUAAAACAUAGGUCACGAGCAUUAUCCGGAUUUAUUGGGCGUAAAGGAAGCGUAGGCGGACAAAUUGAUCUAUUGUUAAAGGCACUUGCUCAACGAGUUGUUUGUGAUAGAUAUCGUUUGUCUAGAAUUAGUUAGGAGAUACUGGAAUUCAAUGUGUAGCGGUGGAAUGCGUAGAUAUAUUGAGGAACACCAGAGGCUAAGGCGAGUAUCUAGGACAUAAUUGACGCUGAGGCUUGAAAGCGUGGGGAGCAAAUGGGAUUAGAUACCCCAGUAGUCCACGCCGUAAACGAUGGGUAUUAGGUAUUUGGUUUAGGACUGAGUGCUGUAGCUAACGCGUUAAAUACCCCGCCUGGGUAGUAUAUAUGC
RNAcentral lists this ribosomal RNA (491 nucleotides) under Candidatus Mycoplasma haematominutum. RNAcentral's name for it is "bacterial SSU rRNA". It matches the Rfam family "Bacterial small subunit ribosomal RNA", at positions 401 to 889 of the family's 1533-position model. The record is from RNAcentral. Lineage: Bacteria; Bacillati; Mycoplasmatota; Mollicutes; Mycoplasmatales; Mycoplasmataceae.